Molecule: ribosomal RNA, 253 nt
Filed under: uncultured bacterium
Lineage: Bacteria
Description: partial 16S ribosomal RNA
Rfam family: Bacterial small subunit ribosomal RNA
Source: RNAcentral
UACGUAGGCAGCAAGCGUUGUUCGGAAUUACUGGGCGUAAAGAGUGUGUAGGCGGUGUUCUAAGUCUGUCGUGAAAUCUCCCGGCUUAACUGGGAGGGUGCGGCGGAAACUGGAGUGCUAGAGGGUGGGAGAGGAAAGCGGAAUUCCUGGUGUAGCGGUGAAAUGCGUAGAUAUCAGGAGGAACACCUGCGGUGUAGACAGCUUUCUGGACCACUUCUGACGCUGAGACACGAAAGCGUGGGGAGCAAACAGG